GCGAAAGCCUGACGGAGCACCGCCGCGUGAGUGAUGAAGGUCUUCGGAUCGUAAAACUCUGUUAUUAGGGAAGAACAUACGUGUAAGUAACUGUGCACGUCUUGACGGUACCUAAUCAGAAAGCCACGGCUAACUACGUGCCAGCAGCCGCGGUAAUACGUAGGUGGCAAGCGUUAUCCGGAAUUAUUGGGCGUAAAGCGCGCGUAGGCGGUUUUUUAAGUCUGAUGUGAAAGCCCACGGCUCAACCGUGGAGGGUCAUUGGAAACUGGAAAACUUGAGUGCAGAAGAGGAAAGUGGAAUUCCAUGUGUAGCGGUGAAAUGCGCAGAGAUAUGGAGGAACACCAGUGGCGAAGGCGACUUUCUGGUCUGUAACUGACGCUGAUGUGCGAAAGCGUGGGGAUCAAACAGGAUUAGAUACCCUGGUAGUCCACGCCGUAAACGAUGAGUGCUAAGUGUUAGGGGGUUUCCGCCCCUUAGUGCUGCAGCUAACGCAUUAAGCACUCCGCCUGGG
RNAcentral lists this ribosomal RNA (511 nucleotides) under Staphylococcus sp. HDEP37. Its description in RNAcentral is "bacterial SSU rRNA". It matches the Rfam family "Bacterial small subunit ribosomal RNA", at positions 375 to 877 of the family's 1533-position model. The record is from RNAcentral. Lineage: Bacteria; Bacillati; Bacillota; Bacilli; Caryophanales; Staphylococcaceae.